GCAGCCGCUGCUGCUGCUGCUGCUGCCACAGAGCCAAGGCCAUUCAUGGUGCUCGCUGUCAUGUCCUGUGCCUCGUGCUUCAAGCUAUGUCCCAGCGCCGGAUGAUGGGCAAAGGAGAGCGGCGGCAAGUGCAAACCCGGAAAAGCCAAACCAGCUGCGGCAGCCGCAUGCAGCGAUUGCAGCAAUGCUGCCGAAUGCUCUUGUGCCUUGCGCCGCAAUUCGGCCACCGAAUUGGAACGUGGAUCGUGUGCCCCGCCCCCCGAUUUGGGCGACUCUGGCGAACUGGCUGCCGAGCUGCUGCUAAUGGGCACACUCAAGGGCGCCAUCACGGACCCCGAGGCCGAGGUAACUGGCGGCAUUGGCGGCGGCUUCAGUGAGCAACACGAACAAAGACUCUGGAACGUUCGAAUUUUGAUUUUGAUGCAUUAGCACAGCUUGGACGCAGCUGCGUUGCUGUAAUUCAAUAAGCAAUUGCUUUUGAUUUGGAUUUCACAGCCCUGAUUGACAGCCCAUCUAUACAGAUUAUGCCAUUAGCCCCCACUCACCUUU
Molecule: long non-coding RNA, 549 nt
Organism: Drosophila nasuta
Lineage: Eukaryota; Metazoa; Arthropoda; Insecta; Diptera; Drosophilidae
Exons: 3
Source: RefSeq, a predicted model, not a curated record